This 360-nucleotide ribosomal RNA is filed under the name Nocardiopsaceae bacterium ACTS133. Its description in RNAcentral is "bacterial SSU rRNA". It matches the Rfam family "Bacterial small subunit ribosomal RNA", at positions 22 to 378 of the family's 1533-position model. The record is from RNAcentral. RNAcentral also lists the same sequence under 1 other name. Lineage: Bacteria; Bacillati; Actinomycetota; Actinomycetes; Streptosporangiales; Nocardiopsidaceae.
GCUCAGGACGAACGCUGGCGGCGUGCUUAACACAUGCAAGUCGAGCGGUAAGGCCCUUCGGGGUACACGAGCGGCGAACGGGUGAGUAACACGUGAGUAACCUGCCCCUGACUCUGGGAUAAGCCCGGGAAACCGGGUCUAAUACCGGAUAUGACUCCUGCUCGCAUGGGUGGGGGUGGAAAGGUUGGUUUUCCUUCCGGUCGGGGAUGGGCUCGCGGCCUAUCAGCUUGUUGGUGGGGUGACGGCCUACCAAGGCGAUGACGGGUAGCCGGCCUGAGAGGGCGACCGGCCACACUGGGACUGAGACACGGCCCAGACUCCUGCGGGAGGCAGCAGUGGGGAAUAUUGCGCAAUGGGCGG